CAAUUUAGAAUGUUUGUUGUUGAAUAUGAAUUCAGUACCGACGAACUAGCAGGCUUGUUAGGAAUCCCUCAUGGGGACGGUGCUAUUUGUGAGGCCCCUUUGGAUUCAGAUUGGUCAGUCGAGGUGUUCUCCUUUUGGCAGAGAUUGUCAAACACUUCCAUAAAUUCUUUUGAAGGAAUUCUUGCCUCGACUAUCCAUAACCCCGCCAUCAGAGUUUUUAGAUAUCUGUUGGCAUGUACUAUUUUUG
RNAcentral lists this long non-coding RNA (247 nucleotides) under Lathyrus oleraceus (garden pea). RNAcentral describes it as "Pisum sativum (pea) long non-coding RNA (PSAT_LNC006346)". Lineage: Eukaryota; Viridiplantae; Streptophyta; Magnoliopsida; Fabales; Fabaceae. The record is from RNAcentral.